AGUAAAAGUCGUAACAAGGUUUCCGUAGGUGAACCUGCGGAAGGAUUAUUAACCUUUCAAAAAACAGGGUGCGUCGCGGCCCCCCUCCGGGGGCGGUUUGGGGUCCUCCCCUUCACGCGCGCACGACUGCAUCCUUACUUUACGAGCACCUUCUGUUCUCCCUCGGCGGGGCAACCUGCCGUUGGAACCGAAUAAACCCUUUUUUGCAUCCAGCAUUACCCGUUCCGAAACAAACAAUCGUUACAACUUUCAACAAUGGAUCUCUUGGCUCUGGCAUCGAUGAAGAACGCAGCGAAGUGCGAUAAGUAGUGUGAAUUGCAGAAUUCAGUGAAUCAUCGAAUCUUUGAACGCACAUUGCGCCCCUUGGUAUUCCGGGGGGCAUGCCUGUUCGAGCGUCAUCUACACCCUCAAGCUCUGCUUGGUGUUGGGCGUCUGUCCCGCCUCAGCGCGCGGACUCGCCCCAAAUCCAUUGGCAGCGGUCCUUGCCUCCUCUCGCGCAGCACAUUGCGCUUCUCGAGGGGCUCCGGCCCGCGUCCAACAAGAAAACAUUACCGUCUUUGACCUCGGAUCAGGUAGGGAUACCCGCUGAACUUAAGCAUAUCAAUAAGCGGAGGA
This 615-nucleotide ribosomal RNA is filed under the name uncultured fungus. RNAcentral's name for it is "eukaryotic LSU rRNA". The stretch from base 245 to 398 matches the Rfam family "5.8S ribosomal RNA". Lineage: Eukaryota; Fungi. The record is from RNAcentral.